GCGGGGGUGCCCGAGCAAGGUCAAAGGGGACGGGCUCAGGCCCCGUUGGCGAAGGCCUGCGUGGGUUCAAGUCCCACCCCCCGCA
Molecule: transfer RNA, 85 nt
Filed under: Sulfolobus sp.
Lineage: Archaea; Thermoproteati; Thermoproteota; Thermoprotei; Sulfolobales; Sulfolobaceae
Also listed under: 3 other names
Description: tRNA-Leu
Rfam family: tRNA
About the family: Transfer RNA (tRNA) molecules are approximately 80 nucleotides in length. Their secondary structure includes four short double-helical elements and three loops (D, anti-codon, and T loops). Further hydrogen bonds mediate the characteristic L-shaped molecular structure. tRNAs have two regions of fundamental functional importance: the anti-codon, which is responsible for specific mRNA codon recognition, and the 3' end, to which the tRNAs corresponding amino acid is attached (by aminoacyl-tRNA synthetases). tRNAs cope with the degeneracy of the genetic code in two manners: having more than one tRNA (with a specific anti-codon) for a particular amino acid; and 'wobble' base-pairing, i.e. permitting non-standard base-pairing at the 3rd anti-codon position.
Source: RNAcentral